AGAUUGAACGCUGGCGGCAGGCCUAACACAUGCAAGUCGAGCGGCAGCACGGGUACUUGUACCUGGUGGCGAGCGGCGGACGGGUGAGUAAUGCCUAGGAAUCUGCCUGAUAGUGGGGGAUAACGCUCGGAAACGGACGCUAAUACCGCAUACGUCCUACGGGAGAAAGCAGGGGACCUUCGGGCCUUGCGCUAUCAGAUGAGCCUAGGUCGGAUUAGCUAGGUUGGUGGGGUAAUGGCUCACCAAGGCGACGAUCCGUAACUGGUCUAGAGAGGAUGAUCGAGUCC
This 287-nucleotide ribosomal RNA is filed under the name uncultured soil bacterium. RNAcentral describes it as "partial 16S ribosomal RNA". It matches the Rfam family "Bacterial small subunit ribosomal RNA", at positions 26 to 310 of the family's 1533-position model. The record is from RNAcentral.